CCUACGGGAGGCUGCAGUGGGGAAUAUUGGACAAUGGGCGAAAGCCUGAUCCAGCCAUGCCGCGUGUGUGAAGAAGGCCUUCGGGUUGUAAAGCACUUUCAGUGGGGAAGAAAGCCUUGGGGCUAAUACCCUCGAGGAAGGACAUCACCCACAGAAGAAGCACCGGCUAACUCCGUGCCAGCAGCCGCGGUAAUACGGAGGGUGCGAGCGUUAAUCGGAAUUACUGGGCGUAAAGCGCGCGUAGGCGGUCUGAUAAGCCGGUUGUGAAAGCCCCGGGCUCAACCUGGGAACGGCAGCCGGAACUGUCAGGCUAGAGUGCAGGAGAGGAAGGUAGAAUUCCCGGUGUAGCGGUGAAAUGCGUAGAGAUCGGGAGGAAUACCAGUGGCGAAGGCGGCCUUCUGGACUGACACUGACGCUGAGGUGCGAAAGCGUGGGUAGCAAACAGGAUUAGAUACCCUAGUAGUC
Molecule: ribosomal RNA, 465 nt
Filed under: Vreelandella stevensii
Lineage: Bacteria; Pseudomonadati; Pseudomonadota; Gammaproteobacteria; Oceanospirillales; Halomonadaceae
Description: partial 16S ribosomal RNA
Rfam family: Bacterial small subunit ribosomal RNA
Source: RNAcentral